AUUGAACGCUGGCGGCAGGCCUAACACAUGCAAGUCGAACGAGUGGCGGACGGGUGAGUAAUGUCUGGGAAACUGCCUGAUGGAGGGGGAUAACUACUGGAAACGGUAGCUAAUACCGCAUACCAUCGGAUGUGCCCAGAUGGGAUUAGCUAGUGGGUGGGGUAACGGCUCACCUAGGCGACGAUCCCUAGCUGGUCUGAGAGGAUGACCAGCCACACUGGAACUGCUACACGGUCCAGCCUCCUACGUGAGGCAGCAGUGGGGAAUAUUGCACAAUGGGCGCAAGCCUGAUGCAGCCAUGCCGCGUGUAUGAAGAAGGCCUUCGGGUUGUAAAGUACUUUCAGCGGGGAGGCGUUACCCUCAGAAGAAGCACCGGCUAACUCCGUGCCAGCAGCCGCGGUAAUUC
RNAcentral lists this ribosomal RNA (406 nucleotides) under uncultured bacterium. RNAcentral's name for it is "partial 16S ribosomal RNA". It matches the Rfam family "Bacterial small subunit ribosomal RNA", at positions 30 to 526 of the family's 1533-position model. The record is from RNAcentral.